Molecule: small nucleolar RNA, 138 nt
Organism: Tachyglossus aculeatus (Australian echidna)
Lineage: Eukaryota; Metazoa; Chordata; Mammalia; Monotremata; Tachyglossidae
Source: RefSeq, a predicted model, not a curated record
UACCGCUUAGGGUCAUACCUGGAGAGUUCCCAGUACUCUACCAGUCUCGACUACAGGAGAGAGAGUCAAGCAGAGGCAUACCCAUUCCAUUCCUAGCUUGGGCAGUGGCUAGCAAGUGGAAGACAAUCUGCUACAAGU